GCUGGGUGUGGUGGCACAUGCCUAUAAUCUCAGCUACUCAGGAGGCUGAGGCAGGAGGAUUGCAAGUUCGAGGCCUGGGAAACUUAUUAAGACCCUGUCUCAA
RNAcentral lists this small RNA (103 nucleotides) under Marmota monax (woodchuck). The record is from RNAcentral. Lineage: Eukaryota; Metazoa; Chordata; Mammalia; Rodentia; Sciuridae.